RNAcentral lists this ribosomal RNA (275 nucleotides) under uncultured bacterium. RNAcentral describes it as "partial 16S ribosomal RNA". It matches the Rfam family "Bacterial small subunit ribosomal RNA", at positions 399 to 691 of the family's 1533-position model. The record is from RNAcentral.
GCGUGUGUGAAGAAGGCCUUAGGGUUGUAAAGCACUUUCACCCACGAAGAUGAUGACGGUAGUGGGAGAAGAAGCCCCGGCUAACUCCGUGCCAGCAGCCGCGGUAAUACGGAGGGGGCUAGCGUUGUUCGGAAUUACUGGGCGUAAAGAGCGCGUAGGCGGCUCGUAUAGUUAGGUGUGAAAGGCCUGGGCUUAACCUGGGAACUGCACUUAAUACUGACGAGCUUGAGUCCGGAAGGGGGUGGCGGAAUUCCCAGUGUAGAGGUGAAAUUCGU